RNAcentral lists this ribosomal RNA (972 nucleotides) under Pseudomonas syringae. Its description in RNAcentral is "bacterial SSU rRNA". It matches the Rfam family "Bacterial small subunit ribosomal RNA", at positions 28 to 998 of the family's 1533-position model. The record is from RNAcentral. Lineage: Bacteria; Pseudomonadati; Pseudomonadota; Gammaproteobacteria; Pseudomonadales; Pseudomonadaceae.
AUAUCGACAUUGCGGCGGGCCUACACAUGCAGUCGAGCGGUAGAGAGAAGCUUGCUUCUCUUGAGAGCGGCGGAUGGGUGAGUAAUGCCUAGGAAUCUGCCUGGUAGUGGGGGAUAACGCUCGGAAACGGACGCUAAUACCGCAUACGUCCUACGGGAGAAAGCAGGGGACCUUCGGGCCUUGCGCUAUCAGAUGAGCCUAGGUCGGAUUAGCUAGUUGGUGAGGUAAUGGCUCACCAAGGCGACGAUCCGUAACUGGUCUGAGAGGAUGAUCAGUCACACUGGAACUGAGACACGGUCCAGACUCCUACGGGAGGCAGCAGUGGGGAAUAUUGGACAAUGGGCGAAAGCCUGAUCCAGCCAUGCCGCGUGUGUGAAGAAGGUCUUCGGAUUGUAAAGCACUUUAAGUUGGGAGGAAGGGCAUUAACCUAAUACGUUAUUGUUUUGACGUUACCGACAGAAUAAGCACCGGCUAACUCUGUGCCAGCAGCCGCGGUAAUACAGAGGGUGCAAGCGUUAAUCGGAAUUACUGGGCGUAAAGCGCGCGUAGGUGGUUUGUUAAGUUGAAUGUGAAAUCCCCGGGCUCAACCUGGGAACUGCAUCCAAAACUGGCAAGCUAGAGUAGGGCAGAGGGUGGUGGAAUUUCCUGUGUAGCGGUGAAAUGCGUAGAUAUAGGAAGGAACACCAGUGGCGAAGGCGACCACCUGGGCUCAUACUGACACUGAGGUGCGAAAGCGUGGGGAGCAAACAGGAUUAGAUACCCUGGUAGUCCACGCCGUAAACGAUGUCAACUAGCCGUUGGAAUCCUUGAGAUUUUAGUGGCGCAGCUAACGCAUUAAGUUGACCGCCUGGGGAGUACGGCCGCAAGGUUAAAACUCAAAUGAAUUGACGGGGGCCCGCACAAGCGGUGGAGCAUGUGGUUUAUUCGAAGCAACGCGAAGACCUUUACCAGGCCUUGACAUCCAAUGAAUCC